Small nuclear RNA from Perca fluviatilis (European perch), 190 nucleotides. RefSeq annotates it as U2 spliceosomal RNA. NCBI's taxonomy places the organism in Eukaryota, Metazoa, Chordata, Actinopteri, Perciformes, Percidae. The record is from RefSeq and is a predicted model, not a curated record. The transcript has a single exon.
CCAACUUCCGGCCCUUUGGCUAAGAUCCAAGUGUAGUAUCUGUUCUUAUCAGUUUAAUAUCUGAUAUGUCCUCUAUCAGAGGGACACUUUAUAUUAAAUGGAUUUUGCCAAUGGGAGUUGAAAAGGGGCUUGCUCCAUUCACUCCCAUCCACCGAACCUCUAUUGCAGCGCAGCGAACGGUGUACACCUU